GAUGAACGCUGGCGGCGGGCCUAAUACAUGCAAGUCGAGCGAACAGACGAGGAGCUUGCUCCUCUGACGUUAGCGGCGGACGGGUGAGUAACACGUGGAUAACCUACCUAUAAGACUGGGAUAACUACGGGAAACCGGAGCUAAUACCGGAUAAUAUAUUGAACCGCAUGGUUCAAUAGUGAAAGACGGUUUUGCUGUCACUUAUAGAUGGAUCCGCGCCGCAUUAGCUAGUUGGUAAGGUAACGGCUUACCAAGGCAACGAUGCGUAGCCGACCUGAGAGGGUGAUCGGCCACACUGGAACUGAGACACGGUCCAGACUCCUACGGGAGGCAGCAGUAGGGAAUCUUCCGCAAUGGGCGAAAGCCUGACGGAGCAACGCCGCGUGAGUGAUGAAGGUCUUCGGAUCGUAAAGCUCUGUUAUUGGGGAAGAACAAAUGUGUAAGUAACUAUGCACGUCUUGACGGUACCUAAUCAGAAAGCCCCGGCUAACUACGUG
RNAcentral lists this ribosomal RNA (497 nucleotides) under uncultured bacterium. Its description in RNAcentral is "partial 16S ribosomal RNA". It matches the Rfam family "Bacterial small subunit ribosomal RNA", at positions 28 to 507 of the family's 1533-position model. The record is from RNAcentral.